AUUGAACGCUGGCGGCAGGCCUAACACAUGCAAGUCGAGCGGAUGAAGGGAGCUUGCUCCUGGAUUCAGCGGCGGACGGGUGAGUAAUGCCUAGGAAUCUGCCUGGUAGUGGGGGAUAACGUCCGGAAACGGGCGCUAAUACCGCAUACGUCCUGAGGGAGAAAGUGGGGGAUCUUCGGACCUCACGCUAUCAGAUGAGCCUAGGUCGGAUUAGCUAGUUGGUGAGGUAAAGGCCUACCAAGGCGACGAUCCGUAACUGGUCUGAGAGGAUGAUCAGUCACACUGGAACUGAGACACGGUCCAGACUCCUACGGGAGGCAGCAGUGGGGAAUAUUGGACAAUGGGCGAAAGCCUGAUCCAGCCAUGCCGCGUGUGUGAAGAAGGUCUUCGGAUUGUAAAGCACUUUAAGUUGGGAGGAAGGGCAGUAAGUUAAUACCUUGCUGUUUUGACCUUACCAACAGAAUAAGCACCGGCUAACUUCGUG
Molecule: ribosomal RNA, 484 nt
Filed under: uncultured bacterium
Lineage: Bacteria
Description: partial 16S ribosomal RNA
Rfam family: Bacterial small subunit ribosomal RNA
Source: RNAcentral